Cucumis melo (muskmelon) is the source of this 2588-nucleotide long non-coding RNA. RefSeq lists it as uncharacterized. The record is from RefSeq and is a predicted model, not a curated record. NCBI's taxonomy places the organism in Eukaryota, Viridiplantae, Streptophyta, Magnoliopsida, Cucurbitales, Cucurbitaceae. The transcript has 2 exons.
CACAAACCUCUAGUGUACGUUAAGACCCACAACAAUACGCAAAGCAACACUCAAGCUCCCACAUUUUUCAUCUCCCAACAAUAAUGAAGCCACAAGCUGAAGUUGUAGAAUAGUACCCUACGUCAACCGACUGAACAUCAUCUCACAUGAAAGGGGGCGUCCACCUGCGGUUUCCACAAAAACAAGGUUUGCCUCCUUUCUUUUUCUUUCAUUUACAAAUUGUUUGUAGACUCAUGUCCUGUCUACAAUCUAAUACAAACUAGUUUAAUUAACAAAAAUAAGGCCAUCAAUUAUCUUGACCACAUCUCUCUAUUCCUUGUUGGUUGUGACAUGCACAAGACAAAAUAGUCCAGUGAUUUCCUCCAUCUUCACAACUUCUUCACAGGUACAAAAAUUCAAAAUGCCUGCCGAGUAUAAAUUCUAAAUCGUUAUUUUAUCUUUUUUAAUGGUUAAUUAUAUGUAGAGGAUACACUUUUUAAUUAAUUAUUCAUUUAUAAUAGAUUAACAACUAUUAUGGGGGCGUUUGGUGCAAUCAAUGAUUUAUGAUAGUGCUAAUAUUAUAAUAGUUAGUAUUAUGAUAGUCUGUGUCUGGAGCUCAAACUAUUAUGGUAUGUGUUGUGAUAGUUUGCGUUUGGUGCGCAGACUAUUAUAGUAUCUUUUAGUAGUCUGCGUUUGAGGUGCAGACUAUGAUAGUCUAUAUGUUAUGAUACUCUGUGUUUGAGGUGCAGACUACCGUUAUCUGUGUUAUUAUAAACUGUUUUUGGUGUGCAGACUAUUACAACCUAGGUUUUUCGCAAUUUUUUUUUCUAAAAUAUAUAUUGGAGAUCCAAAACACAAUUUUUUUGUAAAUUGAUUUGAUUAUGAUAUUCAUUCAAUAUAUUUAGUAUCAAUCGUGAUGUUUCAUUUUUUCAUGCAUAUAUAUUGUACAUCGAAUUAAGUAAGCUUCUAAUUACGAUGUUCCUAGUAAUAAUUUAAGCUUUGAUCUUGUGUUUCCACUAAUUUUUCUCCAUGCAUAUAUAUUUUUCAUGAAAUGCAAUAUUUUUCUUAAAAGCAUUUUCCUUAAUCUUCUUAACUACGACGUUCAUUUCAUAGAUUAAAAUUGCUAUUAUUAAAUUGUUACUUUUCACCUCUUUUUUUUUUUUGCAUGCAUAUAUAUGGUACAACAAGCAUUUUCUUUUGCUUGUUGUGUGAUCUGGCAUUGAAAGACGCGUUAUGCAUAGUGGAAUUGAUGAAACUUAACAAUGGUGUUGAGACUACUCCAAAUGGCUACAACUCGGCAAAAGAGUGUGGUAAUCGCUUAAGCCAAGGAAGGAUACAAAGAUAAUGGAACUUGUAGGAUGAUCCUACAAGUUAAUGAUGCGGUGUGUUAAAGACACCCGACUCGAUGGAGCCUAUAGUGAGAAUAAGAGAGAUAGUUUUCCUUACAUUGUACCACAUAUCGAGGGCCAAUGUUGGUAAUGUAAUCAUGCGAACAAGAGCAAUUUUCACUCUGUUCGCCAAGCUUCGCGAGCGAGUCUUGUGUAGACAAGAAAAAGAAAGCAAUGUCGUAGAAUUUCGAGGAUGAAAUUUGAAAAAGGAGAGACUUGUUGUGAGGUCCUAAUCGCUUACCAUCAAUGUGAUAAAAACCCUGCGACAAGGACACUAAACGAAGAGAUUCUUGAUUAUAGAUUAUUUUUUGUAGAAGGAAUAUGCAUGAGGUCAUGACCCGGAGAAAGGACGUUCGGGUGAAGAGAAGUAUAGGACAUUUCGCGAGGGAACAUGCAAAGGGGAAGAAGGUGACGCAGAAAGAAGUGCUUAAGUCUAAGUUUCGUUGUGAGAAGGCAAUCAACGCGAUAAGAAUAAGUCCAUGAGGAAGGAGCAUGUGUUGGAUACCAAGAAUUAGACUUUUAGCAUAGUAAUGUGAGAAGAAGUGCCUACACUUAAGAAAGGAGGCGAGGAAGUUUCUUAUCAAGAUGACUCGAUCACUCAUUGAGAGGAAGUAAAUGUCUGCUGCUUCUCGAGAAUGUAAGAGGGUAAGGUUAUUUAAGUGUUUGGCUUCUCAAAGAGAUAAGGUGUGCGUCUCGAGGAAAAAGUUCAAUUGUCGUUAACGAAUAGCCCAUGUGUCAAGUUUAGGUUGGCUAUAUGGCACGGUAAGUCGGUAAGGAGACAUGUGUAAAGUGUUGAAAUGAUUUUUGGAUGUGGAAGGCCACUAUAAAAAGGGCAAAAAGGCCGAGAGGAAAAGACAGUUGUUUUCCGGAAGAGUUAGACUUUAUGAUGAAAGUGACAAGAAAAGUUUUGAGAGCUAAAUCGUAGACAAGGAAACCGCUAGACGAGAAGAAGAAUCCAACGACUGAAAAGAAAGGGGUUGAGGCUAAAGUAUAUCUAUGAGUGAUAAAACAACAUACGACAUGAUUAUUAAGCUAUUAUUUAUUGCUGAUUCUUUUUUGUUUUUGUUUAUGAGUUAUAAAUAAAUAUUGCGAGUACUUUGUCCUAGACAAAGGAGUAAAUUUGUAACAAUGUUUAUUUUUUAGUAUCUCUUGUAAGUAGAACAACUGUGAAUUUUUCAUCAAUGGAAGAAAGACUUUAUGAAUGAUUCCAUAUUUAUUUUA